UACAGAGGUCUCAAGCGUUGUUCGGAUUCAUUGGGCGUAAAGGGUGCGUAGGCGGCGCGGAAAGUCGUGUGUGAAAUCUCGGAGCUUAACUCCGAACCUGCAUUCGAUACUGCCGUGCUUGAGGACUGGAGAGGAGACUGGAAUUUACGGUGUAGCGGUGAAAUGCGUAGAUAUCGUAAGGAAGACCAGUGGCGAAGGCGGGUCUCUGGACAGUUCCUGACGCUGAGGCACGAAGGUCAGGGGAGCAAACGGG
Molecule: ribosomal RNA, 253 nt
Filed under: uncultured bacterium
Lineage: Bacteria
Description: partial 16S ribosomal RNA
Rfam family: Bacterial small subunit ribosomal RNA
Source: RNAcentral